UAGCGGCGGGACGGGGUGGAGUAACGACGUGGGGUAACCCUGCCCAAACGAGAUCGGGGAUAACACCUGGGAACAGAUGCUAAUACCCGGGAUAACACAGAUGAUGCCUAUCAACUGUUUUAAAAAGUAUGGGUUCUGCUAUCACUCUUGGAUGGACCUGCGGUGCAUUAGCUAGUUGGUAGGGUAACGGGCCUACCAAGGCGAUGAUGCAUAGCCGAGUUGAGAGACUGAUCGGCCACGUUGGGACUGAGACACGGCCCAAACUCCUACGGGAGGCAGCAGUAGGGAAUCUUCCACAAUGGACGCAAGUCUGAUGGAGCAACGCCGCGUGAGUGAAGAAGGGUUUCGGCUCGUAAAGCUCUGUUGUUGGUGAAGAAGGACAGGGGUAGUAACUGACCUUUGUUUGACGGUAAUCAAUUAGAAAGUCACGGCUAACUACGUGCCAGCAGCCGCGGUAAU
This 459-nucleotide ribosomal RNA is filed under the name uncultured Lactobacillus sp. RNAcentral describes it as "bacterial SSU rRNA". It matches the Rfam family "Bacterial small subunit ribosomal RNA", at positions 93 to 524 of the family's 1533-position model. The record is from RNAcentral. Lineage: Bacteria; Bacillati; Bacillota; Bacilli; Lactobacillales; Lactobacillaceae.